ACUGAUUGCAACAGGAAAGGAAUUUCUCCCUUGCUGCCUUGUUCGGAUCGUCAGACCUCCCACUCUCUGGAUGUCAGAAACUGCAAGGUGAUGGUCCUGAGCAAGAUGGUCCAGAGCACUGUGUCCUGGUGACUGUAAACCUGAGAUACAGCAAGUGAACAGGUACUCUCUUCAGAGCCUGCAGAAUUCUGCUGUGAAGGUCCCAGAGAGAGCACAAAGCCCAACAGCUUGAUUUGCAAAAGGAGCUGUAAUUAUUUAUCUAGUUUAAUAGACACUGCUUUAUCUGUGUUCUAGUUCCUAAAUAUCACUGGAAUCCAAAUGUUUUUAUUUAGCACAAUUAAGGCAAUCAAAAGUAUUUAUUUAAAGCACUUAAUCACUUCAAGAAACAAGUGAAAGACUACUAAAAUAGAGAAUAAUUUUCCAGUGAAGUUUGAUAUCUCUGUAAACAUUUUAGAUGUAAUUUUCUUCUGACUCAUUUUUGAGUCCUCUGAGGAUCCAAAUAUCAAGUUUACUCUCAAUUUCCACCUGGGAAGCAAGUACUGUGAAUUGGGCUACAAGUGAAGAACUGAUUGCUUUAUGUAAUUUAAUUUAUACCAUUCUAACAUAUGUCAGAACACCACUGUAUUGUGGAGUGCAAUAAAAGGCUGACAUGUCUUUUAAGAAAAUCCACACUCACUGGGCUUCUCCAGAUUUUACACAUCCAUAUUGUGCAAACAUGAGCUACAUCUGAGUAUUACAGACAUGCAGGGCAGGCACAAGAAUCCCUGAGGGCACCUCUGAUCUGAAUGUUAAAUUAGCUUUAUUGAAGUAUGUCUUUUAAAUGAA
Molecule: long non-coding RNA, 825 nt
Organism: Zonotrichia albicollis (white-throated sparrow)
Lineage: Eukaryota; Metazoa; Chordata; Aves; Passeriformes; Passerellidae
Source: RefSeq, a predicted model, not a curated record